CUACGGGAGGCAGCAGUGAGGAAUAUUGCACAAUGGGGGAAACCCUGAUGCAGCAACGCCGCGUGGAGGAUGACGCAUUUCGGUGUGUAAACUCCUUUUAUGAGUCAAGAAAAUGACGGUAGCUCAUGAAUAAGCACCGGCUAACUCCGUGCCAGCAGCCGCGGUAAUACGGAGGGUGCAAGCGUUACUCGGAAUCACUGGGCGUAAAGGACGCGUAGGCGGGAUGUCAAGUCAGGUGUGAAAUCCUAUGGCUCAACCAUAGAACUGCACUUGAAACUGGCAACCUAGAGUAUGGGAGGGGGAGAUGGAAUUAGUGGUGUAGGGGUAAAAUCCGUAGAUAUCACUAGGAAUACCGAAAGCGAAGGCGAUCUCCUGGAACAUUACUGACGCUAAGGCGUGAAAGCGUGGGGAGCAAACAGGAUUAGAUACCCGCGUAGUC
This 439-nucleotide ribosomal RNA is filed under the name uncultured bacterium. RNAcentral's name for it is "partial 16S ribosomal RNA". It matches the Rfam family "Bacterial small subunit ribosomal RNA", at positions 339 to 795 of the family's 1533-position model. The record is from RNAcentral.